Molecule: small RNA, 77 nt
Filed under: Flavobacterium fontis
Lineage: Bacteria; Pseudomonadati; Bacteroidota; Flavobacteriia; Flavobacteriales; Flavobacteriaceae
Description: Flavo-1 RNA
Rfam family: Flavo-1 RNA
Source: Rfam by way of RNAcentral
UUUUAACCCUGAUUGCCGUGAAAAUCCCGUGGCCGUUGCCAAACGGCUGCGGAUUGUAACAGAAAGCAGGAACUACG